RNAcentral lists this ribosomal RNA (253 nucleotides) under uncultured bacterium. Its description in RNAcentral is "partial 16S ribosomal RNA". It matches the Rfam family "Bacterial small subunit ribosomal RNA", at positions 524 to 776 of the family's 1533-position model. The record is from RNAcentral.
UACGGAGGGUGCGAGCGUUAUCCGGAAUUACUGGGUUUAAAGGGUGCGUAGGUGGAUUAGUAAGUCAGUGGUGAAAUCUCCGGGCUUAACCCGGAAACUGCCAUUGAUACUAUUAGUCUUGAAUACCGUGGAGGUCAGCGGAAUAUGUCAUGUAGCGGUGAAAUGCUUAGAUAUGACAUAGAACACCAAUUGCGAAGGCAGCUGGCUACACGAGCAUUGACACUCAGGCACGAAAGCGUGGGGAUCAAACAGG